GACACAGUGAGGCUCACAGCCAUGGCGUAGCCUGUCAGCAGGAUCACAAUGACCAGCAGGAAGCCCACCACCUCAUCCCAGGCUUUGCCGGCGACCCUAAACAGACAGCACCGUCACUGCUGCUUGCCUAAACGGUUAGCUGCGUCUCUCCCUAAUGAAAUGUCAUGAACACAGGCAAAGUGCGCUCAGCUGGGGACUUGGAUCUGACCUGGGCACAAUGUUAUAGUCUCCGUUCUGCUCUGUAGUCGCUCAGAGCUGCUGCUUACGAAAAGGUGGCCUUCUCUAAUACAGCUUUCACUGGGUACAGUCAUUUUUCUCAUUGCUUAAACUUAAU
Molecule: long non-coding RNA, 334 nt
Organism: Myotis brandtii (Brandt's bat)
Lineage: Eukaryota; Metazoa; Chordata; Mammalia; Chiroptera; Vespertilionidae
Exons: 2
Source: RefSeq, a predicted model, not a curated record